GUGUUUUCUUUAUGAAAACCCCGGUUUCCGUCCGCUUCCCAAAGUUAAGCAAUGUCGGGCCUGGUCAGUACUUGGAAGGGUGACCACCUGGGAACACCGAAGGCUGUAGGCU
Molecule: non-coding RNA, 112 nt
Organism: Cordylochernes scorpioides
Lineage: Eukaryota; Metazoa; Arthropoda; Arachnida; Pseudoscorpiones; Chernetidae
Source: the annotation of a GenBank genome assembly